Molecule: ribosomal RNA, 253 nt
Filed under: uncultured bacterium
Lineage: Bacteria
Description: partial 16S ribosomal RNA
Rfam family: Bacterial small subunit ribosomal RNA
Source: RNAcentral
UACGUAGGGGGCAAGCGUUGUCCGGAAUUACUGGGCGUAAAGCGCGUGUAGGCGGCCCUGCAAGUCGGAUGUGAAAUCCCACGGCUCAACCAUGGAAGUGCAUUCGAAACUGCAGAGCUAGAGUCCUGGAGAGGAAGGUGGAAUGCUUGGUGUAGAGGUGAAAUUCGUAGAUAUCAAGCGGAACACCGGUGGCGAAGGCGGCCUUCUGGACAGUGACUGACGCUGAGACGCGAAAGCGUGGGGAGCAAACAGG